UCGAUUUUGGCCGAUCUCUACUCAAUCCACACCCUUUCUUUACUUUAGUUGCCUCGGAUUUUCUCACCCACAAAGGAUGACGGUGGCUGCAAGGUAUGACAAAGGAAAGGAAGAAGAAUGGAGGCUCUACUCACCAACACAUGGCUGGACUCUUUCUCUUUCACUUCUCUCCUGCGGUUACCUUCUCUCCCUUUCAAAACCAC
Molecule: long non-coding RNA, 203 nt
Filed under: Olea europaea (common olive)
Lineage: Eukaryota; Viridiplantae; Streptophyta; Magnoliopsida; Lamiales; Oleaceae
Description: long non-coding RNA (OEUR_LNC001298)
Source: RNAcentral